Long non-coding RNA from Aedes albopictus (Asian tiger mosquito), 888 nucleotides. RefSeq lists it as uncharacterized. The transcript is spliced from 3 exons. Lineage: Eukaryota; Metazoa; Arthropoda; Insecta; Diptera; Culicidae. The record is from RefSeq and is a predicted model, not a curated record.
UGCUAUCUGGUCGUGCGAUGAAACGUGUAACUCUCAGAUGGGCCUAAGCCAUCACUGAUUUCGGGCGGAAAGUUGGUUGCGUAAAGUACCUAGUGUAGGAUUUGGUUGGAAAUCCUACACGGUACACAUGUGAAGAUGCUUUUACCGCAAAGGUGGCGCGCAGUUCAAGCCAGUGGAUUUGCUAAGACGCGGCUAAUGAUAAACCGAGCCAUGGCUUCGGACAUGCGACAACACUAUAGUUUGGUGAUGGAAUCUACGCUUGGUAUUAAAUUGUUCGGGAAUGUUCGCUAACCUGGCGAGACUAGUUGGCCAACCACUUCGAGUCUCGUCAGGUAAGCACUGCAAUAGCAACUUCAAGUAUUACACUGAUAGAUUAGAAUGAAUUCGGGUUAAUAUAUAUGCCGUAUUAUUCUGGAACGUGGUAAAAUACCCAAUACAAUACCGAUCUAUUAUUAUUAUAUUGUUUUCAUUAUGAAAAUUUCCAGCCCAAUGCUGGUUUAUCUUUUACCGAUUUACUCAUUCAUGACAUAAUCAGUAGUGAGAAAUAAAAAUGGUGUGGGUACUGAUUUCUUCCAAAUUAAUUUCUCCUUAGAAUUCCACAGAAGAAAAGCACGACGUGUUUCUCGUUGCUAUAAUCAAAUCAAUCAACCUGGUUUGUUAGAGUAGGUUACAUAAAGCAAGCAUAUGAAUAUCAACACUUCCUAGUGGUAAGGUUUGAAAAUUUGGAAAUGGUAUCUGCGUAGCUCAUAAGUUGAUGAUUAAAAAAAAGAACACUUGGUAUUAGUUUUAGGAUGUUUUCGAUGAAAUUUGUAUUGUUAUUCGAUAAAUUGUUAUGAGAUGGUGUUUUGCAACCCCCUCGAAAUAAAUACUCAUUACUGUUAACAAAUA